This 440-nucleotide ribosomal RNA is filed under the name Bacillus subtilis. RNAcentral describes it as "bacterial SSU rRNA". It matches the Rfam family "Bacterial small subunit ribosomal RNA", at positions 556 to 995 of the family's 1533-position model. Lineage: Bacteria; Bacillati; Bacillota; Bacilli; Caryophanales; Bacillaceae. The record is from RNAcentral.
GGGCGUAAGGGCUCGCAGGCGGUUUCUUAAGUCUGAUGUGAAAGCCCCCGGCUCAACCGGGGAGGGUCAUUGGAAACUGGGAAACUUGAGUGCAGAAGAGGAGAGUGGAAUUCCACGUGUAGCGGUGAAAUGCGUAGAGAUGUGGAGGAACACCAGUGGCGAAGGCGACUCUCUGGUCUGUAACUGACGCUGAGGAGCGAAAGCGUGGGGAGCGAACAGGAUUAGAUACCCUGGUAGUCCACGCCGUAAACGAUGAGUGCUAAGUGUUAGGGGGUUUCCGCCCCUUAGUGCUGCAGCUAACGCAUUAAGCACUCCGCCUGGGGAGUACGGUCGCAAGACUGAAACUCAAAGGAAUUGACGGGGGCCCGCACCAGCGGUGGAGCAUGUGGUUUAUUUCUAAACAACGCGAAGAACCUUACCAGGUCUUGACAUCCUCUGAC